Molecule: ribosomal RNA, 253 nt
Filed under: uncultured bacterium
Lineage: Bacteria
Description: partial 16S ribosomal RNA
Rfam family: Bacterial small subunit ribosomal RNA
Source: RNAcentral
UACGUAGGUGGCGAGCGUUGUCCGGAUUUACUGGGCGUAAAGAGCGCGCAGGCGGUCGUACAAGUCGCGUGUGAAAGCCCCCGGCUCAACUGGGGAGGGUCACGCGAUACUGUUCGACUCGAAGGCAGGAGAGGGAAGUGGAAUUCCCGGUGUAGUGGUGAAAUGCGUAGAUAUCGGGAGGAACACCAGUGGCGAAGGCGACUUCCUGGCCUGUUCUUGACGCUGAGGCGCGAAAGCGUGGGGAGCGAUCCGG